UACGAAGGGGGCUAGCGUUGCUCGGAAUCACUGGGCGUAAAGGGUGCGUAGGCGGUUCGUUAAGUCUGCUGUGAAAGCCCUGGGCUCAACCUGGGAACUGCAGUGGAUACUGGCGGACUAGAGUGUGAUAGAGGAUGGUGGAAUUCCCGGUGUAGCGGUGAAAUGCGUAGAGAUCGGGAGGAACACCAGUGGCGAAGGCGGCCCCCUGGGCCGCGCCUGACGCUGAGACGCGAAAGCGCGGGGAGCGAACGGG
Molecule: ribosomal RNA, 253 nt
Filed under: uncultured bacterium
Lineage: Bacteria
Description: partial 16S ribosomal RNA
Rfam family: Bacterial small subunit ribosomal RNA
Source: RNAcentral